GCAAGUCGAGGGGUAACAUUGGAGCUUGCUCCAGAUGACGACCGGCGCACGGGUGCGUAACGCGUAUAGAACCUACCUUUUACAGAGGGAUAGCCUUUAGAAAUGAAGAUUAAUACCUCAUAGUAUUGAGACUUGGCAUCAAGACUUACUUAAAGAUUUAUCGGUAAAAGAUGGCUAUGCGUCCUAUUAGCUAGAUGGUAAGGUAACGGCUUACCAUGGCAACGAUAGGUAGGGGCCCUGAGAGGGGGAUC
Molecule: ribosomal RNA, 251 nt
Filed under: uncultured bacterium
Lineage: Bacteria
Description: partial 16S ribosomal RNA
Rfam family: Bacterial small subunit ribosomal RNA
Source: RNAcentral